GACGAACGCUGGCGGCGUGCUUAACACAUGCAAGUCGAACGGAAAGGCCCUGCUUUUGUGGGGUGCUCGAGUGGCGAACGGGUGAGUAACACGUGAGUAACCUGCCCUUGACUUUGGGAUAACUUCAGGAAACUGGGGCUAAUACCGGAUAGGAGCUCCUGCUGCAUGGUGGGGGUUGGACAGUUUCGGCGGUUGGGGAUGGACUCGCGGCUGAUCAGCUGGUUGGUGGGGUAGUGGCUUACCAAGGCUUUGACGGGUGGCCGGCCUGAGAGGGUGACCGGCAUAAGGGGCACUGAGAUACGGCAGAGAGUCGUACGGGAGGCAGCAGUGGGGAAUAUUGCACAAUGGGCGGAAGCCUGAUGCAGCAACGCCGCGUGCGGGAUGAUGGCCUGCGUGUGGUAAACCGCUUUCGCCUGUAACGAUGCGUGAGUGACGGUAAUGUGUGAAGAAGCAUCGGCUAACUACGUG
RNAcentral lists this ribosomal RNA (468 nucleotides) under uncultured bacterium. Its description in RNAcentral is "partial 16S ribosomal RNA". It matches the Rfam family "Bacterial small subunit ribosomal RNA", at positions 28 to 507 of the family's 1533-position model. The record is from RNAcentral.